AUGAAUAUCCUCAGUUGGAACUACCGAUGUGGGGGGAACCCUCGAACAGUUCACAAUCUUGUGAGUCUAGUGCAGGCUCAGUCCCCUAGUAUCGUUUUUCUUUAUGAGACUAGACAGUGUAAGAAUAAAAUGAAGUGUCUUCGUGCUCGGUUAGGUCUAAGAGGUUUUGAUGGUUUCGAUUGUGCCGUUCGUAGUGGUGGUCUUGCUUUGUAUUGGCAUGAGUCACUGAGCCUUGAUGUAAAAUAA
Molecule: ribosomal RNA, 246 nt
Filed under: Triticum aestivum (bread wheat)
Lineage: Eukaryota; Viridiplantae; Streptophyta; Magnoliopsida; Poales; Poaceae
Description: partial small subunit ribosomal RNA
Source: RNAcentral